This is a long non-coding RNA of Oreochromis aureus, 1216 nucleotides long. The record is from Ensembl. NCBI's taxonomy places the organism in Eukaryota, Metazoa, Chordata, Actinopteri, Cichliformes, Cichlidae.
AGAAGUGGCACUAGUUUCAACACAGGGAAUGUUUUACAUGUUAUUCACAUCGUCAAAGUAACCUUCACAUUUCUCCAACAACACAGUGUAACAGCAUCACCAACUCAUAACCUGUAAACGCAGUUUUCUUCACACGUGAACCCAGAAAUCCUGUAGUAGAAAACAUCAACCAGCUAUCCUGGUAUAAAUCACAUGAUCAAAUCACAUGAAGAACUGUAAUGCUGUAGAAAUGUUAGCGCUGCGCAGGUGUACACACACUUUCUCACAGUCACCUCUGUGAGCAACACAAGGUAGUGAAUGACACCCCUGGUAGAUGCACAGACACAGAAAGUGGCAUUUAAAAGGUUAAAUCAUCACGCAACCUCGAAUGUUGCUGUCAUCUUUCCGCUCCUGUAAAAAGAAACACACAUAGAUUCAUCUGCACCUUUGUCAGGUGGGGGUUAACUUCGCACAGUGAUGUCAGUCAGUCUGUCAGCUUCUGUCCGCUUUUACCAGUCAGUCAGUUUUAUUUUCUCUCCCUCAUUCAUUCAUGCAUUCAUUCAUUCGUUCUUUGCUGACAGUGGGAAUUAUUGUCGCAUUUUCAUUUCCACUUCUCAGCAAAAUGACGUCAUUUCAAAAAGAAAAGAAUUUAGACUGGAUUUUCUCGUUGAAUCCUUUUGGACAGGAACUUAUUUUCUAAUUGUCCCAGAUAAGUGACUUCCUCCUGAGCCCAUUUUAAUGUGGAGAAACUCACUUGCAACAAUUUUCUCGACGACGCGUCGUAUAGCGCUUCUGUUCUAAUCGUGCAGAUCUGCUUAAACAGAGAUCAUCAAACAAAACUUUCAGUGCACUAUGAAAGUAUCAAAAUAAAAAGGCCUUGUUCAGUCAUGACACAUGCUCCUCAUCUCAGGAGGGUAAAUCAUACCAUCAUACUAAUUGGCAGGCUCAACUUCACAACAAAAGAAAAAUCAUCAGCUAGAUUAACUCCAAACCAACCAUCAGCCGCACAACACACAACAUAAGCCUCAUGUCUCAUUAGCUAUGAAUUUUAAUCCCCAGGACUGUACUUUUCACUCAUUUAGGCCACAAAUUUUAUUUAGUUUUCCUUUUUCCCGUCAUCAUAAAACAUGUGACAUGUUGUCAUACAUUCCACAAAAGACGUUUGUUAUGUAUUCAGAGUUUGGUAUCUGGGUGCAGGAUUCACUCGCACAUCACAACAGGAAACUCAGUGUUUUAG